GGUGUGUCAAAUGCGAAUGAAGAAAGAGGAAUGUUUUAUUUACUUUUACACUAAAUUGUAAUCAUUUUUAGCAUCAUAUGUUUGUAUUUUGUUUACAAAAUAAAUAGAAUGAAAACAAUUGUAAUGCAAUAACUUAAUAAUUAGCGAGACCUCCAUUCAAUAAAUUAAUAAUGUUUGGGGUACUACAAAAUGUUUGAAAUAUUGUAUUUGAUUGAGGGCUCGUCACAUUGUGUAGCAAACAAGUAGUGAAAUGGAUGAACAAGAAUGGGCUAUCUUCAGACCAUCACCAGAACAAGAACAAGAAUCACAAGAAGGAAGUGCUGCAGAAGGAGAUGCAGACAGAGGUCGAUACAGCUUAAUGAACCGGUGUCCCUCCCAGUCGUCUCUCGAUGAGUCGUCUCAGCGGCGCGAAGGGGGGGAGCAGGAGGCAAGCGCAGCACACGCCACGCAACUACUGGACGCGCUCGCGAGGUUACGGAGAGAUGCGCUGCUCUGUGACGUCAGAAUUAGGGCGCAGAGUGAGGCGUUGGCAGAGGGUUGUGGAGGAGCAGGCGCGGGUGAGGGCGAAGGGGAGGGAGUGUGGGCACACCGCGCGGUACUGGCCGCAUGCUCGCCGUACUUCCGGGCGAUGUUCACUCAGUUCACGGAGCGCACGAGGCCCACCAUUACUAUUCAGAAUGUUGAGCCACAGGCGUUAGAGGCCAUCAUCGAGUACGUUUACAACCCGGACUCACUCGUCAUCACAGAGGACAACGUGCAGGGCCUGCUCUCGGGUGCGUCCCUAGUGCAGGUAGCCGGCGUGCGUGGAGCAUGUUGCUCGUUUCUGUCGGGAGCGCUGUCUCCGGACAACGCCCUCGGAAUCCGAGCCUUCGCAGACCUGCACGCGUGCGACCAGCUAGCGCACGCGGCCACCAACUUCGUGCACAAACACUUCCCCGAGGUGCUGGAGACGGAGGAGUUCCUUACGCUCGACGCGGAAACCCUGGCGCGUCUGCUGGCCAGCGACCACGUCACGGUCCCCAACGAGGAAAUGAUCUUGGAUGCCGUGGUGCGCUGGGUGCAGCACGAGCCCCAGAGUCGCGGGGAGCAGCUGGGUGGACUUCUAGAGCACGUCCGCUUGCCGUUGUUGCCGCAAGACGUGCUGGUGGCCCGCGCUGCGACCGAGCCGCUAGCCUCCGCCUCACUGAGGGUCAAGGACCUGGUGAUUGAGGCGUUAUCGUUCCACCUGCUGCGGCCAGAGCGUCGCGCCGCUGCCGCAGCUGCGUGCCCGCGUGCGCGACCCCGCCGUCCGCCCGCUGCGCCCCAGGUGCUGCUGGUGGUCGGCGGGCAGGCGCCCAAGGCCAUUCGCGAGGUGGAGGCGCUCGAGCUGGGGAGCGGCACGUGGGCGGCGCGCGCCGAGCUGCCGUCGCGGCGCUGCCGGGCCGGCCUGGCGGCGGCCGGCGGCCGUCUGUACGUCGUGGGCGGCUUCAACGGAACACUGCGCGUGCGCAGCGUCGACGUGUACGACCCCCGCGCCGACCGCUGGGCGCCCGGCCCGCCGCUGGCCGCGCGCCGCUCCACACUGGGCGUGGCCGCCCUGGACGGCGUGCUGUACGCGGUCGGCGGGUUCGAUGGUGCCACGGGGCUGAGCUCGGCAGAGGCACUGGAUCCUCGCGCAGGUGGCUGGCGUAGCAUCGCGUCCAUGAGCACUCGCCGCUCUUCUGUGGGCGUGGCCGUGUUGGAGAACCGUCUGUACGCAGUGGGCGGCUACGACGGCGCCUCGCGACAGUGCCUCAGCUCCGUCGAGAGGUACGACCCGGCCGCAGACCGCUGGGAGAGCGUCGCGGAGAUGAGCGCGCGGCGGUCGGGCGCCGGAGUGGGCGUGGCCGCCGGCGCGCUGUACGCCCUGGGCGGCCACGACGGGCCCGCUGUACGCCGCUGUGCCGAGCGCUACCGGCCGGCCGCGGGCUGGAGCGCGGCGCCGCACAUGCACUCGGCGCGGCGGAACGCAGCCGUGGCCGCGCACCGCGACCGUCUGUACGUGGUGGGCGGGGACGACGGCGCCGCCAACCUGGCCAGCGUUGAGGUUUUCGACCCGUCCACGGACCAGUGGAGCAUGUUGUCGACCACGAUGUCAGUGGGUCGCUCGUACGCGGGCGUGGCGGUCGUCGACAGUCCCCUCUGACCGUCGGCCCCCGCCCCCGGGCGGGAUCUCGACCCCAUCUACGCGGAGCCCCCCUCGCGGCGCCCCCUCACCUGCAGAGCUCAUCAGGUGGAGCAGGGUGUGUACGAGAGCGUGGAGGGUAUGGGUGCCGGGCGAGGCACGUUGUACCGCAGGUGGCGGGGCGGUGCGGGGAGCGCGGGCCCGGGGGCGUGUCGCCACCGCAACUCACAGACACUGGAGUUUCAUGACACGCGGCGUCACCGACAUGGUGCGGUGGCGGGCGUCGUACGCGGCGUCUGCGUUGGCGUACGCGGCGCGACGGGCGCUCGCUUGUCCGCCUCGUGCUCCACCAUCGACCGCCCGCGAGUUCUUUUAGUCCGCGCACACCAUCUGCUACCAGAGAGCCACCAUCACCAGCACUCACGCUGCCGGAUUGGUGAGCAGUGGUGCUGCGAGGCAGAUGAAGACAGCGCCGAGCCCGAGCACGCGCACCCGCUCGCCGAGCCGCUCGUCGAGCCGCGCGCCGUGCUGCGUGCCGAACAUGACUCUGAGUCAGACACGGAACCGGAUGCGGCAGCUGCCGAGCCCGAGCGUCCCUGAGCUUGCUGAGCAUGACCCGGAUGCCAACAAGGCCGGCACUAGAUGCUCGCCUCGAUACGAAAUCAUAUUUUUUAUAAGUACUAGUUUUAUAGUAAAUUUCUAUUCUCUAUUUUAAUAUAUUAAACUAUAAUUAACCAAUUUAAUGAUAAAUUAUAGAUUCACCAAGGACGUAGAAAAAUCCAAGGACGAUUUUGUUUUUUUAUGAUUUAUGAUUUUGAUUACUUUACGCUUUGUGAGCAUUCCUGAAUUUUCUGGGGCGGGGCAAGGGGUGGCGAAUCUCUACCCCCUUGCAUUCCAUGGAUGUUUAUUCUUACUAUGGAGGGGGUGCACCGAAGUACCACCUCUACUGCUCUUGAUAUAUCCUUGUAUGAACAAAGUAAUAUAACAUUAGUAAAAGCCACAAUUUAAUUUAUUAAAACUGUUGGAUAGGUUAUGUAAUAGCCGCAUAUGUAUAUUAAAUAGGUAGAUAAUAUUGUACAGUUUGUUUGUUUGUUUGGAUACAUAGGUCAAUUUUAUUGUUAUACCGUGCAAUAAUUACAUAACUAUUGAAAUUGUAUUAUGUGAUUUAAAUUCGGUAAAGUGAGGGUAGCCUUCAUAUUGUGUGUGUGACGAGUAAAAGACAACUGAAAACUGUGAACAACUAUCAAUACUCACAUUUGAGACUCAUUAUAUGCCCCUCUUAGUUGGAUAGCUGAUUAUAUAUUAGAGUUAGCAUCUGAAUAUAAUAUUAUUAUGA
Molecule: RNA transcript, 3479 nt
Organism: Leptidea sinapis
Lineage: Eukaryota; Metazoa; Arthropoda; Insecta; Lepidoptera; Pieridae
Gene: kel
Gene name: ring canal kelch homolog
Exons: 17
Source: RefSeq, a predicted model, not a curated record